Molecule: ribosomal RNA, 1434 nt
Filed under: uncultured bacterium
Lineage: Bacteria
Description: bacterial SSU rRNA
Rfam family: Bacterial small subunit ribosomal RNA
Source: RNAcentral
AGAGUUUGAUCCUGGCUCAGGAUGAACGCCGGCGGUGUGCCUAAUACAUGCAAGUCGUACGCGUUGGCCCAACUGAUUUGAAGUGCUUGCACGGAUCUGACGUUGGUUUACCAACGAGUGGCGGACGGGUGAGUAACACGUAGGUAACCUGCCCAGAAGCGGGGGACAACACUUGGAAACAGGUGCUAAUACCGCAUAACAAUUCAAAUCGCAUGAUUUGAAUUUGAAAGAUGGUUUCGGCUAUCACUUCUGGAUGGACCUGCGGCGCAUUAGCUUGUUGGUGGGGUAACGGCCUACCAAGGCAGUGAUGCGUAGCCGAGUUGAGAGACUGAUCGGCCACAAUGGGACUGAGACACGGCCCAUACUCCUACGGGAGGCAGCAGUAGGGAAUCUUCCACAAUGGGCGCAAGCCUGAUGGAGCAACACCGCGUGAGUGAAGAAGGUUUUCGGAUCGUAAAGCUCUGUUGUUGAAGAAGAACGUGCAUGAGAGUAACUGUUCAUGCAGUGACGGUAUUCAACCAGAAAGUCACGGCUAACUACGUGCCAGCAGCCGCGGUAAUACGUAGGUGGCAAGCGUUAUCCGGAUUUAUUGGGCGUAAAGAGAGUGCAGGCGGUUUCUUAAGUCUGAUGUAAAAGCCUUCGGCUCAACCGAAGAAGUGCAUCGGAAACUGGGAAACUUGAGUACAGAAGAGGGCAGUGGAACUCCAUGUGUAGCGGUGGAAUGCGUAGAUAUAUGGAAGAACACCAGUGGCGAAGGCGGCUGCCUGGUCUGUAACUGACGCUGAGACUCGAAAGCAUGGGUAGCGAACAGGAUUAGAUACCCUGGUAGUCCAUGCCGUAAACGAUGAGUGCUAGGUGUUGGAGGGUUUCCGCCCUUCAGUGCCGGAGCUAACGCAUUAAGCACUCCGCCUGAGGAGUACGACCGCAAGGUUGAAACUCAAAGGAAUUGACGGGGGCCCGCACAAGCGGUGGAGCAUGUGGUUUAAUUCGAAGCUACGCGAAGAACCUUACCAGGUCUUGACAUCUUGCGCCAACCCUAGAGAUAGGGCGUUUCCUUCGGGAACGCAAUGACAGGUGGUGCAUGGUCGUCGUCAGCUCGUGUCGUGAGAUGUUGGGUUAAGUCCCGCAACGAGCGCAACCCUUAUUACUAGUUGCCAGCAUUAAGUUGGGCACUCUAGUGAGACUGCCGGUGACAAACCGGAGGAAGGUGGGGACGACGUCAGAUCAUCAUGCCCCUUAUGACCUGGGCUACACACGUGCUACAAUGGACGGUACAACGAGCAGCGAACUCGCGAGGGCAAGCAAAUCUCUUAAAACCGUUCUCAGUUCGGAUUGCAGGCUGCAACUCGCCUGCAUGAAGUCGGAAUCGCUAGUAAUCGCGAAUCAGCAUGUCGCGGUGAAUACGUUCCCGGGCCUUGCACACACCGCCCGUCA